UCGAGAAUAUUUAGCAAUGGACGAAAGUCUGACUAUGCGACGCCGCGUGAGGGAUGAAGUAUUUCGGUAUGUAAACCUCUUUCGAUGGGGAAGAAACUACCUAUAGUAAUAUAGGAACUGACGGUACCCAGAGAAGAAGCCAUGGCCAACUCCGUGCCAGCAGCCGCGGUAAUACGGGGAUGGCGAGCGUUACUCGGAUUUACUGGGUGUAAAGGGCAGGUAGGUGGCUUUGUAAGUUGAAGGUGAAAUGCUCUGACUCAAUCAGAGAACUGCCUUCAAAACUGCAUUGCUUGAGGAUUGGAGAGGAGAGCGGAAUUCCAGGUGUAAGGGUGAAAUCUGUAGAUAUCUGGAGGAACACCAGUGGCGAAAGCGGCUCUCUGGCCAAUAUCUGACACUAAGCUGCGAAAGCUAGGGGAGCAAACA
Molecule: ribosomal RNA, 423 nt
Filed under: uncultured prokaryote
Description: bacterial SSU rRNA
Rfam family: Bacterial small subunit ribosomal RNA
Source: RNAcentral